UUCAUCUGUGAGUAAACCAAGGAAAG
RNAcentral lists this non-coding RNA (26 nucleotides) under Cricetulus griseus (Chinese hamster). Lineage: Eukaryota; Metazoa; Chordata; Mammalia; Rodentia; Cricetidae. The record is from RNAcentral.